This 427-nucleotide ribosomal RNA is filed under the name uncultured bacterium. RNAcentral describes it as "partial 16S ribosomal RNA". It matches the Rfam family "Bacterial small subunit ribosomal RNA", at positions 355 to 774 of the family's 1533-position model. The record is from RNAcentral.
UGGGGAAUUUUGGACAAUGGGGGAAACCCUGAUCCAGCCAUCCCGCGUGUGCGAUGAAGGCCUUCGGGUUGUAAAGCACUUUUGGCAGGAAAGAAACGUCAUGGGUUAAUACCCCGUGAAACUGACGGUACCUGCAGAAUAAGCACCGGCUAACUACGUGCCAGCAGCCGCGGUAAUACGUAGGGUGCAAGCGUUAAUCGGAAUUACUGGGCGUAAAGCGUGCGCAGGCGGUUCGGAAAGAAAGAUGUGAAAUCCCAGAGCGUAACUUUGGAACUGCAUUUUUAACUACCGGGCUAGAGUGUGUCAGAGGGAGGUGGAAUUCCGCGUGUAGCAGUGAAAUGCGUAGAUAUGCGGAGGAACACCGAUGGCGAAGGCAGCCUCCUGGGAUAACACUGACGCUCAUGCACGAAAGCGUGGGGAGCAAACA